CAAUUAUUACAGCUCUUUUUGAAUUUGUCUAGCAGGUUUUCUGUUUUUUGUUUGUUUGUUUGUUUUUUGGUUUUUUUACUGGAAAACCCCC
This is a small nuclear RNA of Pongo abelii (Sumatran orangutan), 91 nucleotides long. Its record names the gene U7. It matches the Rfam family "U7 small nuclear RNA". Rfam says of the family: Animal histone pre-mRNAs are spliced by a different mechanism than nuclear pre-mRNAs and self-splicing introns. This processing involves the U7 snRNP, which contains only one RNA species: U7. The record is from Ensembl. Lineage: Eukaryota; Metazoa; Chordata; Mammalia; Primates; Hominidae.